ACCAGGGCAGAGAGAUGUGGGAGACAGAGGCAAGGGAAAAAUUUCAGAGGUGGGAAGAAAGAAUAAAGAAUAGUUCCCUGCAGAGAGAGAGGGCAAUCAGGGUAGGAUAUGAUCUGAGAGAGAGUUUCAUCUGCCUUCACUGUACUUGAGGCAGACAGAGGCACCAUGAGGACAGGGUUCUGCCUUCUGGGAGCUCACGGCCCCAUGAAGGAGGCAGGCACACUCACAAGAAACUAGGCUGCCAGGCUGAGUGAAAGGAAUUUGCCAAUAAAGCUGCAAAAUCAGGUCACUGGAUGCCAGAGGAGGGGGUUGAAAGGACAGCCAUGAUGGAAUUUAUCUUGAAAGCUGCCUCUGCUUCCUCUGUGGGAUGUGAAUUGAGCGCACGCAUGACUGAAGGCAGGAAACCAGGAGACUGUGGUGGUCUUGCAGGGGACAGAUGACCCGGCCGUGUCAGGAAGCAGAGCGGCACGCUGAAGCAGUCAUCCAGGGAAGGACCCAGGAGUCUCAGCAAUUGACCCUGCGGCUUAGGCGCAGAGGAGGAAAUGGACAGGAAACUGAGGUUUGGCUGGCCCCACACAAAGGACAGGCCACGGCCUCCACCCCGAAUUCCAAAGGCAUGGACAGAGAAGUAUAUGCUGCAGACAUGAUAGUGCAGCCAGCAGAGGUCUGCGCCUGGGGCUGAGAGGUUUGGGCAGCCCCCGCGUGGGGGUGUAAGGAGUCUCCUGGGAGAGACUUCUUCCCCCUGAGGGGCAACAAAGCCAGGUUCUGACCACUGGUCCUUCAACUAAAAGAGCGGGAAGCUACCUAGAGGAUCCCCACAGGGCAGCAGCCAAGCUCAGCAAGAGAGGGGUUGUUUGUGAGGACAUCUGAGAUGCUCAUGUCCAGGAGGAGGAGAUGCUCAUGUCCAGGUGCUUGGCUCAGCUUUCGCCCCCCAGCCGGUGCUGCCUGGGGGCUGCUCAGUCAAUACCUGUGACCACAAACCGCCCUUCACACACCAGUCAUACCCCUGAGCAAUACCCACCCCAUCCAGGGCUCCUUCCAGACGGGGAACACUUGCCCACAGAGCACAUCACUUCACGCACACAACCUCGUGGAAGGGGUGCUUUGAUACCGGUUUUGUGAGCGAGAAAAGAGCAGAUCGGAGAAGUUGAGUGAUUUUUUUUUUUUUUUCCCCUAAGAUCGCCCAGCUUGUGUGUGAUGGAAUCCGAUCGCAACACAUCCUUUUGUCUUUUGACAUCCAGCUGAUGUUCCAUGGUUGUUCGCUUCCCUGGGCCUAUCUGGCAAGUGGCAACCCACCCCCUGGUCAAGGUCACCUCCUAGUUGUCUCCUGCCUGCUGGAACAUAGCUGGGGGCAGCUGAGGAAAGCCUCCCCACCCUGAUGAUGGAGCUUAUGAUCUUUAACCUCAAGUAGGCAUGGCUGGGGGUGCUGUCUAGCCCACUCUUCUGAAUGACUAUUUCAUACCUUCUUCUUCUCUGACCUCACACCUUCUGGGAGCAGCCAAGGCCUUGGCGUGCUCCCUGGUUGACAGUGGGAGACUGAGGCAGGGGCUGUGCUCCAGAACCGUGGCUCCCUCCCACCCUGAGUAAGCGAAGGGCUGGGCCUUUACCUGCACUGCCCCCUCCUCUGCCCUGUCCACAGAGAUCCACAAAACAAGCAGAUUCCCCACGGUUUGGCAAUAGCUACUAUUGACCCCAAUUAACAUUUAAUAUGCUCUCGGGAGAGAAGGUGUUUUUGAAUAGAGGUUCCGUUAAUACUGCAUUUUUCUCCGAAUGUUCAGGGAUGUGGGAACCAUGACGGAACCAGUCUGUCUGUGUCCUCACAGGGGAGAAAAUCUGGAACUGUAUAGGCAGGCUCUCGCCUGGCUGCGUCUCACCUGGGAGGGCUGAGCUGACACGUGGAGAGAUUCACUGAAACCCCAGCAUCUCCCAGAACACACUGGGCCUCACGUACCACCUCUGCCUGAAGAGCACCAGGAACCAAGGAGAAAUGUGUCUUUGGGGCAAGAUAACCUCUCAGAGCCUCAGGGCUCUGGCCCAACUCUGUCACAGGUCACAGAGCAGAGAGAGUCUGAUUAGGCUCUGGUCUGCCCCUGCCCCAGGGCCACAGUGUCUUUGGUUCACAAGCCUCUUUGAGCCAGUAAUUACUUAGGGAGCUUUAAGAAACAUAUUGCAAAAAAUUAUUUAAAAGCAUUCCGUUUCUAAUCCUAAUUCUAGCUUUGUAACUGUCUAAAUGGCUGCUGGAAACAGGCAUUUCCUUCUUGGGCUGGAAGUUGAGGUGACCUUCUUUAGUGGCCAAUCCUGUCUUCUAAAACCACAAAUCUCAGAGUUGACUCUGGCAGGUUGCGUGUCUACAGACACCUGGCCAUGCAGAUGAUAUGACUCCCAAAGAGGAGUCCCUUAUGGGUAAGACACAACAGCAAUCACAACUGAAGAAGUGGCAGAAGUCCAUAAAGUCCCCUCAGUGGAGGAGUCAGUUCAAAUGGCUGGAGUUGGCAUUCUUCUAACAGGGAGACUAGGCUGGGGGUUUUGCUGGAAGUGGACCUGUCAGAUUUCCUGGCUCCCCAUAGGCUCGGUGGCCCUAGGCCACACAGGCGGGUGGGCAGGAAGGUUCUAGUGCAGGAGCUGGUAGGCCUGGGUGGGGGUGGGUAGAGAGGCAGAGAUGUGCAGAAGGACUAUGCCCUGAAUUGUGUUUCUGAGAGCUAGGAAAUAGUACCCAGGUUAGAGUGGGCACCCUCUGCAGAGUCAUUGUUGAAGGUGCCAGGAAGAAAGGCCUAGAAGGAGCAGGGGGAGAGCCACGCCUUGGCACCAAGACUUCCCUGUUAGGUCCCAGGCCCUGGCAGCUUGACCUCCUGUCCUGUUCCUGUGAGCCUGAUUUCCUGCCUCUUAGUUUCGGUCUCUUAGUUCUAGUCUUGGGGGGAUCCUUGCACUUGCCCGUGGCCACUCCUCAUCACUCCGUUCCCGGAAGCCUCUCUCUCGGGCUUCCCCAGCACCACCCCCAGGCUGCUUCCCCAGAGCUCCAGAGCUCUCUGGAUGCUGUAAGCACUGUGCAGGAGGAGGGGGGUGGGGAGCACCCCCUGCAGACUCCCGGCCCCCUCCCACAAAGCAUCAUUCUGGCCGCCUGGCCUGGAGUUUCCAUAAUGAUGGUAACGAAUUUAAGAUUCCAAGCCGAAAUUCCACUCUUUCAAGUGGUUCAAAUAUGGCAAUGAUGGGGAAGAGGAAUGUGGGAACGGAGUCUCAAGGUGAAUGGGGUGGGCGUAGGGGUGGCAGGAAGGCCUGAGGUCCAUUUUCUCUCUGAAAUUUCUUCUAUACCCUUUCGUUGCUCCCCAUACCUCCAAUGCCCCACCUUCCCUCCCUCUCAGCUGCUACACUGCUUCCCAUUUAAGCCAGAAAACAGAGAACUACCCCGAUUUUAUCAGUAGCCAGCAAUUCCACUUAAACACUGGACCCUACCCUACUUCCUAGUCAAGGACAUCCCUCCUGGAAUUGGCCUCCAUCCACCUGCACCAUUAGUUGUUCCCUCUGUGGGGGAUCAUUUUCAAGCAAAUAAAAUCAUGCUGGGAGAGUCAACAUUUCAAAAUCUACUCUAUUGAGGUAUUAUAAUUUGGAGAUAAAAUGCACCCACUGUUAAGUGUGAAGUGAGGUGAAUUUUGGCAAAUAUAUAUACCUGUGUAACCACCGCCACCACCGUCAAGUUCUAGAAGAUUGCUAUCAGCACGCCCCAAAAAGUAUCCCCUUGCUGAGCACUAUUCCCUUGUAUGGACACAGUACAAUUUGUUCAUGUGUUAGCCUGUUGAUGUGCAAUUGGGCUGUUUCCACUUUUUGGCUAUUAUGAAUAAAAAGUGCAGUGAACA
Molecule: long non-coding RNA, 3851 nt
Organism: Herpailurus yagouaroundi (jaguarundi)
Lineage: Eukaryota; Metazoa; Chordata; Mammalia; Carnivora; Felidae
Exons: 3
Source: RefSeq, a predicted model, not a curated record